AUAGAAGCACAGUUUGGUCAGAGAGAAAAUGUCGACACAUUGUAACCUUGAGGUAGUGUCCUUCUCUCUCCCUCCUCACAAUCAAUACACACACUAUGGCUUUUGCGACUUGGGCCCACUGUACACUUUUUUCCUUAGCGUAAAAUGUGUAUUCCACACAGUGUUAUGGUGGAAUGAUCAAUACACUACUGUCAAUUUUAAUCAAUCCCUAACCGUAUUGGCCAGUCCUGACUGCCCUAACAGACAGCUGCCACAGAUUUUUUUUGGCUGAAAACGUGGAUCCUGACACAGAUUCCACCGAGCCAGACAAGCAUCAAAAGAUUUCCUACAUCAAUAAGUUUUACCACGAGACACAAUAAUCCUCAGUAUGCGUUGUAGUCAGAGAAUGACACAACACCGUUUAUGUCAUCUGAAUACAGAUCCUCACAGAAUUUAUCAAUACAACUUGAUCAACUGUAAAACCAUCCCAAUGAUGUAUUCUGAUGGAUGGUGAAUUUGGAGUGAAAUCCUUUCAAAGAACUUGACACAGGUGAUCAGGUAACCUCUCAGGUGUGUGAUUUUUACCUGUGUUAAUACACAUUCACGCUCAGGGGGUCUGCCAGGAAUAACCAUCAAUUAUGCAACAUAAUCAAUGAAGGAAAUCUCCUAUUACUACGUACUGCAUCCCCAGCCUCCUCUUAGUCCACUGCCUCUCACCGAACCAACAAACCUCACAUCCAAAUAUGUGGGGGAUCUAAAAACUUACCGAAAUUGGGAGUGGGAAUCACCAUGCUCAAUAUGAAUCACCUGAUAAACUUUUUAUUUCUUUUCAGUUAAAAGUACAAAUUUUAAAAAUUACUUUAUUCAUAUACUGACAACUGUUUAAAUUUCCUUUAACAAUUCCAAUGAUUCUAAAUUCAAAUGAAUAAAUGAGAAUAUAAAGCUGAUUUAAAGCUGUAUCUAUUGACAUGAUUGAUUCAUAGGAGAGCAUGACCAGACUUAAUCUUAAUACUUCCCCCAAAACACACUACAAACACCAAAAUAUCAAGUGACAAAGUACAUUGAUCUAAAUAUAAGUAGUAUAUAUCCACUGACUAACCAUUCGGGCAGUAACCCAACUCUUACAAACCAAAAAUAAUAAACUUCAGCCACAGCUGAUAAACAUGUAAUCUAUUAUCAAUUCAUCGUUUUGUGGGCAACUACCUAAUUGAAAUGCAGACAUACCGGUAGCUCCCCCACAGUAUUGAAUACUUUUCUAUCAUUACACAAUUGAGAAUCACCAACAUGCACAGAAUGCAAAAAACUCCCUACCUCACAAUAUGUUAAUUAAUUCAUCCAUUUUAUUGUCCAAAUAAAAGAAAUUGAGAUAGAUUCGGAAUUGUAAAAUCUCCAAAUCAAAAAAAGAAUAAAAAUAUCUUUUUUUCACAUGAAAUACUAUGAAGGAAAAGAGGUAAAAAUCCUAUAUGUGGAUGGCAUAUGUACACAUGAGAAUGCUGCUAGCACAAAGAGAGAUAGACGGUGUGCGCGUAGAGCAUGCGUGUUUAUACAUAUGUAGCGUACAGAUGAGGGAGCAAGGAAGCGCGUGGUAGCAUCUUCAUGUUCCUGUUCAACGUGUAUCUGGCAGCCAUCCCUCACUUUAUGUAAAUAAACCAACAAGAUCGCUCAUUAAUAUCAUAAUGGUGAAAAGGUAUGAAAGUUAUUCUCUAUUGCCAUGACAACAGAAUAUGCUCUUCUGGCUGUCUCUUGCUUGUGGGAGAAUUCAUGGUGGUAUUGUGUGAGCAGAGUUUCUUCAUUUGGUGAUUCUCUGUCACAUCAGGUGAAGUAACAAAAAAUGUAAUGCUUCAUUGUCAGAUUAGAUGGAAUAUUAUUAUAAAUCUUAAACUGCUAUAUUAAAAAGAGGGUAGGAGUUUCUGGGAAUAAUCACAACCUUUGCUUAGCCAUUUUUUGUGCAUAGUAUAAACUGAUAUCAAGUUGAAGUCUCUUUUUUAAUAAUAGAGAGAACAAUGUAAAUAAAUUGACCUUGACAAUUCUUAAUACACAGGCAAAUUCCAAAUCCAGGCUAUUUAAAUUAAUGCACCUUUGAUUGACAUGUAUUUACUAAAGAAAUACCUAUUAAGUGUGAAAUCAAGUCAAAUCUAAAAAGAGCAUUUUUUAUCAGCAUUUGAUAAAUAUUAACCUCUGCUCCGAUAGACAUCAUUAUAAAAAUACAUUAAUCUGACGUCGACACAAAUCGAAGAUGUUAGUCAGUAUUUAAAUCGUCUUUUUACGUCACACUCUAAAUCAAAUAAUGAGUCACAUGCAUUUCUUGUAGUCUCUAUCAAACAUGACUAAUUUGUAACUGGUGACUCCCCCUUCUUACUUUUCAGUAACAUUGAUUUCCGAGCGUCCAGAUUUGAUACAAAUAAUGGCUUCAGUUCAAGUAGUGGAGAAAACCGUUUCACCAAAUAAUCAAUGCUUUUAUCUCCAAACCAUUUAGCCAAACAAAGCUCAUUUAGUACAUAGUAAACAAUCUUGUAUAUUUCUAGAUUUUAUAUAACAUUUAAAAGUACUUCACUGUAUACAGGAAAUGAAUCAAUUCACUGACUCUAAUAUCCCAUGGAUGCCUCAGGGCUUAGCAUAGGCUAAAGUCAUCAACUCUUGAAAAACAAUACCCACAAAUUAGCCAGUGACAUGAAAAUGGUCAUCAGCAUGCAAAGGUUUAAAGUACUUACAGGUAUCUUACUUAUAUUUCAUACCAUAUCAAUAUACUAUCUAAAUAAUGGAAAAAGCAACAUCCGCAACCCUACUACAGCAUACCAAUUACUCCAGAGGAGCAUGUCCAUGUAGCCUUGUUCAUAAGAGAGAAGUUUACAGAGUACAUGUAGCAGUUUGAUGUUUUUGCAACAUGUGCACACAAUAUAACAACAUGGAACAGAAGGGGUUAACCAGUCACCAAUCAAUACCCACUCAGUUUUUUCCUUUCUCAAAUAACAACAUCACAGCAAAUUUUACAUAAAUCCAAACUUUUGUAACAAUAUGACUUAGAGAAGAGUUUUUUUUCUCCUCCAUUGAAGUUGGAUAUUGAUAUUGUCAAACCAAGGUGAAAACCAGAGUGUUCAAAGCAAGAACAAGAGAGGGCAAAUCAUCACAAGGCAAGGACAAAAAAAAGAGGCAAUAAAUGAAGCAUUUCCUGGAACUGAAUGCAGUACGCUGAAGAUGGACAGAAGACCUGUCAAUCAAUGAUUUCCAUUUUAUCUACUAUGGCAACUGCAUUUACAUCAAAAUCACGGAAAAGCAAUAAUGAAAACGUGUGAUGAGAAAUCAAUAGACAUGAUGAAACAAUCCAGAAGCCAGCUAUUCAGUUCAGUGGAUGACAACAUUAUCUCCAGUCUUGGGCCUGCAAUAUGCUCACUGAAAGCUGAUGUCUAUUAUCAAAUUUCUUCUUGCGCUUUGCAAUCUUGUGCAACAAACUUGUAAUUAAAAGAAGGGAAUUUGUAUCUUUGUUUCAGUAUCUCAAUUAAAUUUUAACUAAGCACAUCAAAGACGUUUAUUAUAGACAUUCUGUUCUAUUAAAUAAAUAUUUUGAUUCCAUUCGGUUGUUUCGUCUUUAAUUACUACACAAUUGUAACAUAAUACCAGCCAGGGCCUGGCUGAAAGGUAUCAAUAUAGGAUAGAAAUGUUUUCCAGUGAUGAGCCUUACCUCAAAAAACUGUAUCACUAGAAACUACGAAGAAAACAAGACAAAUAACUCAUGGCCUAUUUCACACAUCCACUGGAUAGCAAUACCCUUGAAUGCUUAUUCUGUAGUUGAACAAAUAAUUGGCAAUCCAUCAUUGCGAAAGAAUUUUACAAUCCUAAUUUCAAUUUUUUGUCCUAAAAAUAUUUUGCAAUCAAGACAUAUAAUCAUACACAGCGUACAGAUUACCAAAUAUAGCUGAUACAGCGAGUAAUAUUUCAAGGUCUACAGUACGUCCGACUAUUGAUCAUCUUCUCUCUGUCAUUCAGAUCACUUCUAGAUUUCAAUACAUCACACGUUGCAUAUUACUCAAAACACAUACCUACAAUGAUCUUCAGAUUUUUCAGAUUAUCAAGGUACAUUCGUCUAUCGUAUAUGCAUAUAUACCAAAAAUAGAUUUACAAGUAUCACAUUUAUCAUGAUACAUAUCUCAACAGAAAAGGAAGAGGGAUAGGAUAAGAUAUUGUGUGUAAAGUAUAUAGGGAAUGUGUAAAAUAUUUCCUUGGGCUUAAUCAAUAACUCUUAUCACCUCUUAGAAACGUAAUAUAUAUUUGACCAAUUACAAAUCAUUUUAUUUUAAACACAAAAACGUUUAUGCUUUGACAAAUUGACCAGUAACAGAGUAUAAAAAUGCGUGUAUAUAUCAACAAUAAAACAUUAACCUUGAAUUCAGGUCACCUAAAGUCGCAGUUUAUUUUUAUAUAAACAAAUCCUUUCAUGUAUAAAUGUUGUUUACAACCUCAUAGGAAACAAGUAUGUUGCUAUUUUAUUCGAACGAAGGGAAAAAAAUUAGUACCGGUACUUAAAACAAUUACAAACAAAUGCUCUUGAAUUUGAGGUUAUAAAUAGUCAUUACAUAGGCUCAAAGCAUAAAAAUACUAUUAAAAUUCAACUUGUACCAAAGUGGGCUGGGCUACAUCGAACCCUAAACACCGUUCAAACAAACACUUUAAAAUUCCAGACCCCAUGCUAUCUCUCUUGUGAGGGAGGCAUACGGUCCAGUGACUUUAAAUACACUACUGCCUCUAUGAAUGGAAAGCUAUUUCUGUUUGAAUGCCUAUACUAUAUAUAUCCAUUGCGACAAUAUGAUUAAAACCUAUGUACAGACCCAGGCAAGUCUGAACAAUGGCUGCAAAGUUAAUUACAUUACACCUAUCACAGGUCUUAAAAUUGAUUAUUUUUUUCUAAAUUGCAUUAAUUCAAGCAUUUUAAAAUUCCAAUUCUUUUCUAUUAUAACUGGGUUUUACAGCAGACUCAAUUUAUUGCAGGCUGCAGGAAGUACUAUAUAUCUUCUUGAUUUCUGGGUGUACAUUACAUCAAGAAAAAGUAAAUCAGUGCAAUGACAGUUUACUUUGAUAAUGAGCUUAUGACGGUAUUUAUAUAUUUAACCUUAUCAAUGACAUACUUAGUUAGAUAAUCUUAAUCUGUUUUAUCUUUCAAACUAAACAAAUUAGUUUAAAAGUUCAGCACGAAUCAGAUGAACAUUAAUUCGUACAUGUUCAAAUUCAACAAAACUACCGAUAAAAGCAAGACCACAGGAAAAAGAUUAUUCGCCCUUAGUAAUGCAGUAUUAUGAGAAAACAGAACACAUUAGUAAAAAGGAUAAAUUUGAAUACUGGGGACAACAAAUAGCUUGCUAUAAAUAUUUUUUAGGUGAGGUAAUGAAACAAACUUCUAUUUAGCCACCUAUCCCCCUCUUAGAUUAAAUAUAUUAUUUGUGAAGACCUCACUCAAAUACAUCUACAAAAGAGACUGCCUCGAAAAACAUCCUUGACAAUACUAAUGUAGUACCCAUUCCAGCUGAAGUUACUGUGCAGACAAACGUACUUUAAUAUCAGCCCAAUUAUGAGAUUACAACAAAAACAGGCACAUAAUAUAGCAUGUAGGAUGCUCCUCUCUUCUAUACAUACAUGUGUAUCUAGACGUUCAUUAAUCUAACAAUGCAGAUGUUAUAUAGAGUCACCACACCUUACAUUGUCAAUACAGCAUAUAUCAAUAGCAAUGGCCAUGCAAACUCUAUUAGUCACACAGAGUGAAGAACUGGUAAAAUACACCAAAUGCACUUUCCUAACACAUAUGACCAAUGAAAGAAUUAAAAAAGCCAAGAUUUGAACCAAUCAAGUCAAGCGACUUAUCAAUAUGCCAAUACUGGAGCUCAAUUUACUCUGCUUUUUUUUUUCAUCCUUACACCAUCCUCUGACUUGAAUCGGUACAUGAUUUAUCAAUUAACCUUCAAUAUAGAUCUUCGUUAGCACAUGUUAAA
Long non-coding RNA from Magallana angulata, 5957 nucleotides. RefSeq lists it as uncharacterized. The transcript is spliced from 3 exons. The record is from RefSeq and is a predicted model, not a curated record. Lineage: Eukaryota; Metazoa; Mollusca; Bivalvia; Ostreida; Ostreidae.